CCUACGGGUGGCAGCAGUGGGGAAUAUUGCACAAUAGGGGGAACCCUGAUGCAGCGACGCCGCGUGGGGGAAGAAGCUCCUCGGCGCGUAAAGCCCUGUCAGCAGGGAGGAAAAUUACGUUACCUGAAGAAUACUCCCCGGCUAACUCCGUGCCAGCAGCCGCGGUCAUACGGAGGAUGCGGGCGUUAUCCGGAUUGAUUGGGUUUAACGGGUGCGUAGGCGGAAUGCCAAGUCAGCGGUAAAAUCGCGGGGCUAAACCUCGCUCCGCCGUUGAAACUGGCGUGCGUGAGUGGGCGAGAAGUAUGCGGAAUGCGUGGUGUAGCGGUGAAAUGCAUAGAUAUCACGAAGAACUCCGAUUGCGAAGGCAGCAUACCGGAGCCCAACUGACGCUGAAGCACGAAAGCGUGGGUAUCGAACAGGAUUAGAUACCCUUGUAGUC
Molecule: ribosomal RNA, 439 nt
Filed under: uncultured bacterium
Lineage: Bacteria
Description: partial 16S ribosomal RNA
Rfam family: Bacterial small subunit ribosomal RNA
Source: RNAcentral